RNAcentral lists this ribosomal RNA (496 nucleotides) under uncultured bacterium. RNAcentral describes it as "partial 16S ribosomal RNA". It matches the Rfam family "Bacterial small subunit ribosomal RNA", at positions 28 to 506 of the family's 1533-position model. The record is from RNAcentral.
GAUGAACGCUGGCGGCGUGCCUAAUACAUGCAAGUCGAGCGAACAGACGAGGAGCUUGCUCCUCUGACGUUAGCGGCGGACGGGUGAGUAACACGUGGAUAACCUACCUAUAAGACUGGGAUAACUUCGGGAAACCGGAGCUAAUACCGGAUAAUAUAUUGAACCGCAUGGUUCAAUAGUGAAAGACGGUUUUGCUGUCACUUAUAGAUGGAUCCGCGCCGCAUUAGCUAGUUGGUAAGGUAACGGCUUACCAAGGCAACGAUGCGUAGCCGACCUGAGAGGGUGAUCGGCCACACUGGAGCUGAGACACGGUCCAGACUCCUACGGGAGGCAGCAGUAGGGAAUCUUCCGCAAUGGGCGAAAGCCUGACGGAGCAACGCCGCGUGAGUGAUGAAGGUCUUCGGAUCGUAAAACUCUGUUAUUAGGGAAGAACAAAUGUGUAAGUAACGAUGCACGUCUUGACGGUACCUAAUCAGAAAACCACGGCUAACUACGU